Long non-coding RNA from Pygocentrus nattereri (red-bellied piranha), 1121 nucleotides. The record is from Ensembl. NCBI's taxonomy places the organism in Eukaryota, Metazoa, Chordata, Actinopteri, Characiformes, Serrasalmidae.
ACACAAAUAUAGCCAUUUUAUUUACUAUGUGAGUGUUUCACUUUAAUGGGGUCAUAGAUAACAUCUGAGAUCCGCUCCAUGUAACACGUUUCUGUACAGCUCCAGCUGGUCUGACUACACUGUAAUAAACCCUUGCUGGAUCAUAUGUAUUCAGAUAAUAUUGUCCCUAUAAUACAGUGUUAAUAAGCCGGUGGCCUGAGUGUCAAAAUGUACUCAAUGAUAAAUGAUGACUGAUGUGGAUGGUUGUGUUGACAGUAAUGUAGAUACUUAUGUGACGGCUCAAUUUGCCCUAUUUCAGUUGCAGAACGCCACCAACCGAAAGGGCAGUUUUGUUUUUGGGUUUUUUUUUUUUCCUUUGUUUGUGGAGUGAUGAAAUUGAUCUCCCCCUACUCCCCCAUGACCCUCACUGCUGUGGGCAGGGCUUCUUCUCCAGGUUCUUCUCAUGUGAAAGGUGCCAGUUAUGACCUACAACCUACCUUGUACAGACAUUGGCCGUUUUAUCAGAAACACCAUAUUUUGUAAGUAUCUGCACUAAAAAAUGUGACUUCUUAAAUUUACUUGAUUCAAACAUUUAAAUCAAAUAAAUGCAGUGCAGCAGUUUUUCAGUGCAGUUACUGACAGUAGCCCAUGUGUUGCUAUACACACCCUACACGGCCGUAGUGUGGUACGAGUGUAUCGAGCGCAGCAGUGUUACUGUUAUCGAUAAAAGCUGCAUACAAGUUUGCAGAGGAUCUGAUCCUGGAUCAGUCUGUGUGACUGCCUUUAAAUCAGUAAGGAGCUGAAGUCCAUCCUGCUCUUUGAAAGCUCAAUGUCCAAAUACAGGAAUGCUGCACUUUAGUAACUCGCCAUGUCCUACAUGUGGACAAUUAAGCUCCUUUUGUUUCUAUGAGGCUCACUAAUAGGAUCUAAGGCUAGACUAUAACAGGCCAGAGAGAACACACUGAGCAACACAUACAAAACCACUAACCUCAGCUCUUCACCUGCGUUUGAGAAAAUAAAUCAUCAGCAUGGUUUUCUACACAUCUGUGACCUUCGUAAGUAAAAGUGUCAUACCUGAAAACACACACACUCGUCCGCGAUGCGAGUUCAAACACUCGUUCUUCUGAUUCUCCUGAUGCUCA